This 1477-nucleotide ribosomal RNA is filed under the name metagenome. Its description in RNAcentral is "bacterial SSU rRNA". It matches the Rfam family "Bacterial small subunit ribosomal RNA". The record is from RNAcentral.
AGAGUUUGAUCCUGGCUCAGAUUGAACGCUGGCGGCGUGCCUAACACAUGCAAGUCGAGCGGUAACAGGUGUAGCAAUACAUGCUGACGAGCGGCGGACGGGUGAGUAACGCUUGGGAAUCUGCCUGUUAGUGGGGGACAACCCGGGGAAACUCGGGCUAAUACCGCAUACGCACUAUGGUGGAAAGCCGGGGACCGCAAGGCCUGGCGCUAACAGAUGAGCCCAAGUCGGAUUAGCUAGUUGGUAGGGUAAUGGCCUACCAAGGCGACGAUCCGUAACUGGUCUGAGAGGACGACCAGUCACACCGGAACUGAGACACGGUCCGGACUCCUACGGGAGGCAGCAGUGGGGAAUAUUGGACAAUGGGGGCAACCCUGAUCCAGCGACGCCGCGUGGGUGAAGAAGGCCUGCGGGUUGUAAAGCCCUUUCGGUGGGGAAGAAAAGUUGCGACCUAACACGUUGCGACCUUGACGUAACCCACUAAAGAAGCACCGGCUAACUCUGUGCCAGCAGCCGCGGUAAUACAGAGGGUGCGAGCGUUAAUCGGAAUUACUGGGCGUAAAGCGCGCGUAGGCGGCUUUUCAAGUCGAUUGUGAAAUCCCCGGGCUUAACCUGGGAACUGCAGUCGAGACUGUCUAGCUAGAGUAUGGGAGAGGGAAGUGGAAUUUCAGGUGUAGCGGUGAAAUGCGUAGAUAUCUGAGAUAACAUCAGUGGCGAAAGCGACUUCCUGGACCAAUACUGACGCUCAUGUGCGAAAGCGUGGGGAGCAAACAGGAUUAGAUACCCUGGUAGUCCACGCCGUAAACGAUGGAUGCUAGCCGUUGGUGGGUUUACUCAUCAGUGGCGCAGCUAACGCAUUAAGCAUCCCGCCUGGGGAGUACGGUCGCAAGAUUAAAACUCAAAGGAAUUGACGGGGGCCCGCACAAGCGGUGGAGCAUGCGGUUCAAUUCGAAGCAACGCGCAGAACCUUACCAGCCCUUGACAUGUCCCGUAUGGGUCUCAGAGAUGAGACCCUUCAGUUCGGCUGGCGGGAACACAGGUGCUGCAUGGCUGUCGUCAGCUCGUGUCGUGAGAUGUUGGGUUAAGUCCCGCAACGAGCGCAACCCUCGCCCUUAGUUGCCAUCAUUAAGUUGGGCACUCUAAGGGGACUGCCGGUGAUAAGCCGCGAGGAAGGUGGGGAUGACGUCAAGUCCUCAUGGCCCUUACGGGCUGGGCUACACACGUGCUACAAUGGCGGUGACAGAGGGACGCAAUGGAGCAAUCCUGCGCAAAUCUCAAAAAGCCGUCUCAGUUCGGAUUGUCCUCUGCAACUCGAGGGCAUGAAGUUGGAAUCGCUAGUAAUCGCAGAUCAGCACGCUGCGGUGAAUACGUUCCCGGGCCUUGUACACACCGCCCGUCACGUCACGAAAGUCGGCAACACCCGAAGCCCGUGGCCCAACCAGCUUGCUGGGGGGAGCGGUCGAAGGUGGGGCUGGCG